CCGGCACGGGUGAGUAACACGUAUCCAACCUGCCGUCUACUCUUGGCCAGCCUUCUGAAAGGAAGAUUAAUCCAGGAUGGCAUCAUGAGUUCACAUGUCCGCAUGAUUAAAGGUAUUUUCCGGUAGACGAUGGGGAUGCGUUCCAUUAGAUAGUAGGCGGGGUAACGGCCCACCUAGUCAACGAUGGAUAGGGGUUCUGAGAGGAAGGUCCCCCACAUUGGGACUGAGACACGGCCAA
Molecule: ribosomal RNA, 238 nt
Filed under: uncultured bacterium
Lineage: Bacteria
Description: partial 16S ribosomal RNA
Rfam family: Bacterial small subunit ribosomal RNA
Source: RNAcentral